GACGAACGCUGGCGGCGUGCUUAACACAUGCAAGUCGAACGGUGAAGCGCCUUCCUUUUUGGUGGGUGUGGAUGAGUGGCGAACGGGUGAGAAACACGUGAGUAACCUGCCCCCUUCUUCUGGAUAACCGCAUGAAAGUGUGGCUAAUACGGGAUAUUCUGGGUCUGUCGCAUGAUGGGUCUGGGAAAGAUAUUGUUUCGGUGGGGGAUGGGCUUGCGGCCUAUCAGCUUGUUGGUGGGGUGAUGGCCUACCAAGGCGGUGACGGGUAGCCGGCCUGAGAGGGUGGACGGUCACACUGGAACUGAGACACGGCCCAGACUCCUACGGGAGGCAGCAGUGGGGAAUAUUGCACAAUGGGCGCAAGCCUGAUGCAGCGACGCCGCGUGAGGGAUGGAGGCCUUCGGGUGGUGAACCUCUUUCGCCAGUGAAGCAGGCCUGCCUCGUUUGUGGGUGGGUUGACGGUAGCUGGAUAAGAAGCGCCGGCUAACUACGUG
RNAcentral lists this ribosomal RNA (494 nucleotides) under uncultured bacterium. Its description in RNAcentral is "partial 16S ribosomal RNA". It matches the Rfam family "Bacterial small subunit ribosomal RNA", at positions 28 to 507 of the family's 1533-position model. The record is from RNAcentral.